UACGAAGGGGGCUAGCGUUGCUCGGAAUCACUGGGCGUAAAGCGCACGUAGGCGGCUUAUUAAGUCAGGGGUGAAAUCCUGGAGCUCAACUCCAGAACUGCCUUUGAUACUGAUGAGCUUGAGUCCGGGAGAGGUGAGUGGAACUGCGAGUGUAGAGGUGAAAUUCGUAGAUAUUCGCAAGAACACCAGUGGCGAAGGCGGCUCACUGGCCCGGUACUGACGCUGAGGAGCGAAAGCCAGGGGAGCAAACGGG
RNAcentral lists this ribosomal RNA (253 nucleotides) under uncultured bacterium. RNAcentral's name for it is "partial 16S ribosomal RNA". It matches the Rfam family "Bacterial small subunit ribosomal RNA", at positions 524 to 776 of the family's 1533-position model. The record is from RNAcentral.